GCCGCCGGGAGCGGAGCCGGCAGCCCCCUGUGGCCGCCCCCGGGGCUCCGCUGUCACGGCUCAGCCCCGGCCAUGCGGACCUUUGGAAGCCGAGCCCAGCCAGAGCUGCGGGGCCGCCUCCAGCCCGCAGCUGCUCCGCACGCAGCCGGGAGAGCGCGGCGGUCGCCAAGGAAACCGGAGAUUGCCGCAGCGAUUGCCAGCCCGGCUGCUGCCGCUCCGGCGGGGCCGGGGAUGAGCUUGGAGUGCCUCUCCAGGGCUCUCCUUGAGACGGGGACACCGCUCCAGCCGCGGGGGGACGGCGCUUUUCCGUCUCCUGCGGCCCCGGCGCUCAGCGCUUGGCCCCGCACGCACAGCGAGGGCUCUGGAGGAGCUCUCGGCGCUCACGGAGCUCCAGGGGCCGCCGGGCAGGGCCCCGUGCCCGGGGAUUGACACCGGAGAGGGGCAGGGACACGGCGGUGCCGCGGUGAGGGCGUGGGGUCACACCUGGAGCUGGUCACACCUGGAGCUGGUCACACCUGGAGCUGGUCACACCCGGAGUCCCGUGUCCCAGGGAACUGGGAGAGGUGCGGGGACAGGUGGAACCUCACAGCAGCCCUGCAGCGCUCUCGUCCACAGAGCCUCGCCACGGAACCAUGGAAAGGUCUGGCUCGGAAGGGACCUUGGAGGCCGUUCAGUGGCAUCAUGCCCGUGGCCUCUGUGGCAGCUCCACGUCCCCCUGGGGCACCUCUGCAGGUGGGGCCAGGGGACAAUCCCCUCGUGGACAAGGAGCAGCCGGGACACCGAGCCUCGGCCCGGCUCCUCGCAGCUCCUGGGGCAGCUUCAGUGUCCCUGAGCACCACCGGGGCCACCAGGGCCAGCUCCUGCUCGGGACACAGACCAUUCCCCAGGAUCCGCCCUGGUGAUGGGGAAAACCUCUUCUGCCAGAGGGGCUGGAAAAGCUGCGCGGGGAAACACCUGCAGAGCACGCGCGGCCUCGGGGAUCCCACAGGACCAUGGAGCGCUGAGGCUGGAAAAGCCCUCUGAGAUCGCGGAGCCAAAUCGUUCUCCCAGCACUGCCCCGUGUCCCCAGGGGCCACAUCUGCGCUUUUUCCCAGCUUUUCCAUCUCCAUCCCAACCAAAGCCCCCGUGGAGCUGCUCCCAGGGCUGGCUGGGCUCUGCUCGCUCCUGCAGCGCCCCAACCCCACCCCAAAAGUCCCUCACCGUGUUUAUUCCCGCUUUGGCUCCAGCGGGGAAGCGGCAGAGGCAGAAUCCUCGAGCACAGCGAGUUCUCAGCGAUAUAAUUCUCUUUAAUCUUUUAAGCAUUUGACAGUAUUUGCUUGAAAGAAGAAGCAACAAGUACAUAAUUAUUGCACUAAUUAAGCUGCCAAAACACAAGCAUGCUGCAAGAGCACCUUUGAAACAGUGAGCUCUCGAUUCAUUAGCAUCUGCUGUAAGCUUAUUAAUCACCUAACAGGCAAUUAGCAAGCUGUUACUGUUUGAGACUAGUAUGUAAAUAAAUUCUUGGGUUAAUUUCUUCCUCUGAUAAUAAAGAAAACAUUAUGAAAAUUA
Vidua chalybeata is the source of this 1548-nucleotide long non-coding RNA. RefSeq lists it as uncharacterized. The record is from RefSeq and is a predicted model, not a curated record. The transcript has 2 exons. Lineage: Eukaryota; Metazoa; Chordata; Aves; Passeriformes; Viduidae.